UACGUAGGGGGCGAGCGUUGUCCGGAAUCACUGGGCGUAAAGCGUGCGUAGGCGGUUUGCUAAGUCCGGAGUGAAAGUCCAGGGCUCAACCCUGGGAAUGCUUUGGAAACUGGCAGACUUGAGUGCUGGAGAGGCAAGGGGAAUUCCACGUGUAGCGGUGAAAUGCGUAGAUAUGUGGAGGAAUACCAGUGGCGAAGGCGCCUUGCUGGACAGAGACUGACGCUGAGGCACGAAAGCGUGGGGAGCAAACAGG
Molecule: ribosomal RNA, 253 nt
Filed under: uncultured bacterium
Lineage: Bacteria
Description: partial 16S ribosomal RNA
Rfam family: Bacterial small subunit ribosomal RNA
Source: RNAcentral